AGUCGGCCUGCGCGGAAGAUGUAACGGGGCUAAGUAGUAAACCGAAGCUGCGGCAAUAUACUUUUGUAUAUUGGGUAGGGGAGCGUUCUGUAAGCGGUUGAAGGUGUGUGGUAACGCAUGCUGGACGUAUCAGAAGUGCGAAUGCUGACAUGAGUAACGAUAAAGGGGGUGAAAAACCUCCUCGCCGGAAGACCAAGGGUUCCUGUCCAACGUUAAUCGGGGCAGGGUAAGUCGACCCCUAAGGCGAGGCCGAAAGGCGUAGUCGAUGGGAAACGGGUUAAUAUUCCCGUACUUCUUACAAUUGCGAUGGGGGGACGGAGAAGGCUAGGUGGGCCUGGCGACGGUUGUCCAGGUUCAAGUGCGU
Molecule: ribosomal RNA, 364 nt
Filed under: Vibrio parahaemolyticus
Lineage: Bacteria; Pseudomonadati; Pseudomonadota; Gammaproteobacteria; Vibrionales; Vibrionaceae
Description: partial 23S ribosomal RNA
Rfam family: Bacterial large subunit ribosomal RNA
Source: RNAcentral